This 971-nucleotide long non-coding RNA is filed under the name Homo sapiens (human). Its description in RNAcentral is "non-protein coding lnc-GOLGA8O-5:5". The record is from RNAcentral. Lineage: Eukaryota; Metazoa; Chordata; Mammalia; Primates; Hominidae.
CUCUUAUGAAGAAACCGUUCUUACGGAAGCCCAGAUGAGACAACUUGAGACAGGAUUCAGAAACGCUGAUUUUAGUAACCUUAACCCUCGGCCCUUGGUGGGAACUUCGGCUCUGUGGGAAUUAGUCUUUGGGGGACUGAUGGUCAUGCUGAAAUCUUAUUGCGUAGGAAAUUAAGUACAACAAAGAAGACCCGUCGUGAGAGGAGAGUGCGGAAGAAAUGCGAAGUCUACGGGAGGUGGCAGCUGCAGAAGCUUGGUGUUGGAUUUGGCGUUAGGAGACCGGGAGGAGCCCAGCUUCCGGUCCAGACGGUUAUCUUGUUGACUUGCACGACUGCAAACGCCCUGAGCUGCUUUUGCAGUCUGAAACAUCAGCGAUCCCAUCAAAAUAUUCUGUUUCUUGGGAUAUAAGAAACAUCCCAAGGCGGGCUGUAGAGCGAGAGAUUUGGACUCGAUUUAAAUACAGACAAAAUAGUAUGCAUUUACUAACACCACAUCUCACCCCCACGAAACUUGGUAAGGGCAGCAACAGAACUUUAUCUGCCAUAUGCACUCCUGUAUUCCUAUUACCAAAUAGUGCCAGGGACUAAGUGAAUAUUUGUCCAAUGAAUGAGUUUUAAGUAGGAAACGUUUGCAUAGAAUCAUUUUGUUUCUUUUGGAGUUCAAAUCUUCGGAUAUUUUACCCUUCCCAAUCCAAAGAAAAGUCUCUGAGUGAAGAGAUGGGAACAAAAUACAUUAAAAUGUAUUCAGUGGAACUCACAGUUUAAAAUUCUAUGUUUCUCAUGAACUCUAACAUUCCAAUGUUGCCUUCUAAGCAAACUGAAAGCUUCCUUAUACUGAAUGAGGAAGAGUACAAAUACUCGGCUGAAUGAGGUAUCGCAAAAGACUGCAUGCACUUUGGAGAAAGACUUAAGUUAUUGUCAUACAAUUUCCAUUCUUUUUAGUGUUUUCUUAAAUAUAUGACAAAUACCUAC